UACGUAGGGAGCAAGCGUUGUCCGGAAUCAUUGGGCGUAAAGCGCGCGUAGGCGGCCCCGUAAGUCCGCUGUGAAAGUCAAAGGCUCAACCUUUGAAAGCCGGUGGAUACUGUGGGGCUAGAGUCCGGAAGAGGCGAGUGGAAUUCCUGGUGUAGCGGUGGAAUGCGCAGAUAUCAGGAGGAACACCGGUGGCGAAGGCGGGUCUCUGGGCAGUAACUGACGCUGAGGAGCGAAAGCGUGGGGAGCGAACAGG
This 253-nucleotide ribosomal RNA is filed under the name uncultured bacterium. Its description in RNAcentral is "partial 16S ribosomal RNA". It matches the Rfam family "Bacterial small subunit ribosomal RNA", at positions 524 to 776 of the family's 1533-position model. The record is from RNAcentral.